GAUGAACGCUGACAGAAUGCUUAACACAUGCAAGUCCACUUGAACUUCGGUUUGGGUGGCGGACGGGUGAGUAACGCGUAAAGAACUUGCCUCACAGCUAGGGACAACAUUUGGAAACGAAUGCUAAUACCUGAUAUUAUGAUUAUAUGGCAUCGUAUAAUUAUGAAAGCUAUAUGCGCUGUGAGAGAGCUUUGCGUCCCAUUAGCUAGUUGGAGAGGUAACAGCUCACCAAGGCAAUGAUGGGUAGCCGGCCUGAGAGGGUGAUCGGCCACAAGGGGACUGAGACACGGCCCUUACGCCUACGGGAGGCAGCAGUGGGGAAUAUUGGACAAUGGACCGAGAGUCUGAUCCAGUAAUUCUGUGUGCACGAUGAAGUUUUUCGGAAUGUAAAGUGCUUUCAGUUGGGAAGAAAAAAAUGACGGUACCAACAGAAGAAGUGACGGCUAAAUACGUG
Molecule: ribosomal RNA, 454 nt
Filed under: uncultured bacterium
Lineage: Bacteria
Description: partial 16S ribosomal RNA
Rfam family: Bacterial small subunit ribosomal RNA
Source: RNAcentral